AUGCCUAACACAUGCAAGUCGAACGAAGCCUUCUGGCUUAGUGGCGCACGGGUGCGUAACGCGUGGGAACCUACCAUCAGGUUCGGAAUAACAGUUAGAAAUGACUGCUAAUACCGGAUAAUGUCUUCGGACCAAAGAUUUAUCGCCUUUUGAUGGGCCCGCGUUGGAUUAGCUAGUUGGUGGGGUAAAGGCCUACCAAGGCGACGAUCCAUAGCUGGUCUGAGAGGAUGAUCAGCCACACUGGGACUGAGACACGGCCCAGACUCC
This 267-nucleotide ribosomal RNA is filed under the name uncultured bacterium. RNAcentral's name for it is "partial 16S ribosomal RNA". It matches the Rfam family "Bacterial small subunit ribosomal RNA", at positions 45 to 339 of the family's 1533-position model. The record is from RNAcentral.